UAUGUCCAUAUCACGUUGAAACCCUAGUUCCAAUAUGACCACCAAAGUUAAGCAACAUUGAGCUAGGUCUGUGCCUAGAUGGGUGACCACUUAGGAAUGCCAGGUGCUGUAAG
Acanthosepion pharaonis is the source of this 113-nucleotide non-coding RNA. The record is from the annotation of a GenBank genome assembly. NCBI's taxonomy places the organism in Eukaryota, Metazoa, Mollusca, Cephalopoda, Sepiida, Sepiidae.